AGCGGCGGACGGGUGAGUAACGCGUGGGUAACCUGCCCUAUACACAUGGAUAACAUACUGAAAAGUUUACUAAUACAUGAUAAUAUAUAUUUACGGCAUCGUAGACUAUAUCAAAGUGUUAGCGGUAUAGGAUGGANCCCGCGUCUGAUUAGCUAGUUGGUGAGAUAACUGCCCACCAAGGCGACGAUCAGUAGCCGACCUGAGAGGGUGAUCGGCCACAUUGGAACUGAGACACGGUCCAAACUCCUACGGGAGGCAGCAGUGGGGAAUAUUGCACAAUGGGCGCAAGCCUGAUGCAGCAACGCCGCGUGAACGAUGAAGGUCUUCGGAUCGUAAAGUUCUGUUGCAGGGGAAGAUAAUGACGGUACCCUGUGAGGAAGCCCCGGCUAACUACGUGCCAGCAGCCGCGGUAAUACGUAGGGGGCUAGCGUUAUCCGGAUUUACUGGGCGUAAAGGGUGCGUAGGUGGUCUUUCAAGUCGGUGGUUAAAGGCUACGGCUCAACCGUAGUUAGCCUCCGAAACUGGAAGACUUGAGUGCAGGAGAGGAAAGUGGAAUUCCCAGUGUAGCGGUGAAAUGCGUAGAUAUUGGGAGGAACACCAGUAGCGAAGGCGGCUUUCUGGACUGCAACUGACACUGAGGCACGAAAGCGUGGGUAGCAAACAGGAUUAGAUACCCUGGUAGUCCACGCUGUAAACGAUGAGUACUAGGUGUCGGGGGUUACCCCCCUCGUCCCAGCUACGCAUUAAGUACUCCGCCUAGAGGGAGUACGC
RNAcentral lists this ribosomal RNA (771 nucleotides) under uncultured Clostridia bacterium. Its description in RNAcentral is "bacterial SSU rRNA". It matches the Rfam family "Bacterial small subunit ribosomal RNA", at positions 94 to 885 of the family's 1533-position model. The record is from RNAcentral. Lineage: Bacteria; Bacillati; Bacillota; Clostridia.